Molecule: ribosomal RNA, 262 nt
Filed under: uncultured bacterium
Lineage: Bacteria
Description: partial 16S ribosomal RNA
Rfam family: Bacterial small subunit ribosomal RNA
Source: RNAcentral
GUCCACGCCCUAAACGAUGUCAACUGGUUGUUGGGAAUUCACUUUCUCAGUAACGAAGCUAACGCGUGAAGUUGACCGCCUGGGGAGUACGGCCGCAAGGUUGAAACUCAAAGGAAUUGACGGGACCCGCACAAGCGGUGGAUGAUGUGGUUUAAUUCGAUGCAACGCGAAAACCUUACCCACCUUUGACAUGUACGGAAUCCUUUAGAGAUAGAGGAGUGCUCGAAAGAGAGCCGUAACACAGGUGCUGCAUGGCUGUCGU